UAAGUCGUAGGACCGGCCGAUCCUACGCCUAGGGCCGUGUCCCCCCUAGGAAGGGACUGGGCUCCGCCCACCCAGAAGGCUACUAUGUGCACAAAUGCCGAUGUUCAACCCCAUCGACUAUAGGUGUCCUGCAGAUACUACCAAGCCAUGUAUAAAUGCCAUAAUGCACCCUCCCAAUACUCUACUAAAAAGGAGUAUGAUCAAGACUACCACUCACUCGAUCAUGACCCAAUCAUAAACUAACAUCAGGGUUAGGAGUGAGGGUCAAGAAAGUGCAAUACAACUCAAUAUACCACUAAGAAGGCUCUACAAAUCUUUGAAAUGGAGGAAAUGAAAUCAAUUUACAAAAGAAGUUAUUUCACAAUUUGGAACCAAUUUAAUUACUCAUAAAAGAGUAUAAUCAAGCUACGACUCACAAGUCUUUAAAAUAGAGGAAAUGAAAUCAAUUUACAAA
RNAcentral lists this long non-coding RNA (454 nucleotides) under Phoenix dactylifera (date palm). Its description in RNAcentral is "long non-coding RNA (PDAC_LNC023041)". The record is from RNAcentral. Lineage: Eukaryota; Viridiplantae; Streptophyta; Magnoliopsida; Arecales; Arecaceae.